Molecule: transfer RNA, 58 nt
Filed under: Ictidomys tridecemlineatus (thirteen-lined ground squirrel)
Lineage: Eukaryota; Metazoa; Chordata; Mammalia; Rodentia; Sciuridae
Also listed under: 1 other name
Description: Spermophilus tridecemlineatus (thirteen-lined ground squirrel) tRNA
Rfam family: tRNA
About the family: Transfer RNA (tRNA) molecules are approximately 80 nucleotides in length.
Source: Rfam by way of RNAcentral
UAGCUCAUUUGGUAGAGUGUGUGCCCUGCAUGCACAAGACCCUGGGUUCAAUCCCCAG